Molecule: ribosomal RNA, 271 nt
Filed under: uncultured bacterium
Lineage: Bacteria
Description: partial 16S ribosomal RNA
Rfam family: Bacterial small subunit ribosomal RNA
Source: RNAcentral
UGGAGAUGGCGACCGGCGCACGGGUGAGUAACACGUAUCCAACCUGCCGAUAACUCGGGGAUAGCCUUUCGAAAGAAAGAUUAAUACCCGAUGGCACAAUAGAACCGCAUGGUUUGAUUAUUAAAGAAUUUCGGUUAUCGAUGGGGAUGCGUUCCAUUAGGCAGUUGGUGGGGUAAUGGCCCACCAAACCUUCGAUGGAUAGGGGUUCUGAGAGGAAGGUCCCCCACAUUGGAACUGAGACACGGUCCAAACUCCUACGGGAGGCAGCAUG